Molecule: ribosomal RNA, 368 nt
Filed under: uncultured organism
Description: bacterial SSU rRNA
Rfam family: Bacterial small subunit ribosomal RNA
Source: RNAcentral
CGAAGGAUGCAAGCGUUAUCCGGAUUCAUUGGGUUUAAAGGGAGCGUAGGUGGACUGAUAAGUCAGUGGUGAAAUCUUUGGGCUUAACCCAAAAAUUGCCAUUGAUACUGUUGGUCUUGAGUACAGUUGCUGUGGGCGGAAUAUGACAUGUAGUGGUGAAAUACAUAGAGAUGUCAUAGAACACCGAUUGCGAAGGCAGCUCACAAAGCUGUAACUGACACUGAGGCUCGAAAGUGCGGGGAUCAAACAGGAUUAGAUACCCUGGUAGUCCGCACUGUAAACGAUGAUUACUCGCUGCUAGAUGGCAACAUUUAGUGGCUUAGCGAAAGCGAUAAGUAAUCCACCUGGGGAGUACGCCGGCAACGGUG